UGUGGUUUAAUUCGAAGAUACACGAAGAACCUUACCUGGCCUUGACAUGGUAGGAACCCUGUAGAGAUACGGGGGUACUAGCUUGCUAGAGCCUACACACGGGUGCUGCACGGCUGUCGUCAGCUCGUGUCGUGAGAUGUUGGGUUAAGUCCCGCAACGAGCGCAACCCUCGUCCUUAGUUGCUAACGGUUCGGCCGAGCACUCUAGGGAGACUGCCUUCGCAAGGAGGAGGAAGGUGAGGACGACGUCAAGUCAUCAUGGCCCUUACGGCCAGGGCUACACACGUGCUACAAUGGGGCGUACAGAGAGCUGCGAUACCGCGAGGUGGAGCCAAUCUCUUAAAGCGUCUCUCAGUUCGGAUUGUUCUCUGCAACUCGAGAACAUGAAGCUGGAAUCACUAGUAAUCGCAGAUCAGCUAUGCUGCGGUGAAUACGUUCCCGGGUCUU
This 446-nucleotide ribosomal RNA is filed under the name uncultured Sulfuricurvum sp. RNAcentral's name for it is "bacterial SSU rRNA". It matches the Rfam family "Bacterial small subunit ribosomal RNA", at positions 940 to 1382 of the family's 1533-position model. The record is from RNAcentral. Lineage: Bacteria; Pseudomonadati; Campylobacterota; Epsilonproteobacteria; Campylobacterales; Sulfurimonadaceae.